CGAAAGCCUGAUGCAGCGACGCCGCGUGAGGGAUGACGGCCUUCGGGUUGUAAACCUCUUUCAGUAGGAAGAAGCGAAAGUGACGGUACCUGCAGAAGAAGCGCCGGCUAACUACGUGCCAGCAGCCGCGGUAAUACGUAGGGCGCAAGCGUUAUCCGGAAUUAUUGGGCGUAAAGAGCUCGUAGGCGGUUUGUCGCGUCUGCCGUGAAAGUCCGGGGCUCAACUCCGGAUCUGCGGUGGGUACGGGCAGACUAGAGUGAUGUAGGGGAGACUGGAAUUCCUGGUGUAGCGGUGAAAUGCGCAGAUAUCAGGAGGAACACCGAUGGCGAAGGCAGGUCUCUGGGCAUUAACUGACGCUGAGGAGCGAAAGCAUGGGGAGCGAACAGGAUUAGAUACCCUGGUAGUCCAUGCCGUAAACGUUGGGCACUAGGUGUGGGGGACAUUCCACGUUUUCCGCGCCGUAGCUAACGCAUUAAGUGCCCCGCCUGGGGAGUACGGCCGCAAGGCUAAAACUCAAAGGAAUUGACGGGGGCCCGCACAAGCGGCGGAGCAUGCGGAUUAAUUCGAUGCAACGCGAAGAACCUUACCAAGGCUUGACAUGAACCGGUAAUACCUGGAGACAGGUGCCCCGCUUGCGGUCGGUUUACAGGUGGUGCAUGGUUGUCGUCAGCUCGUGUCGUGAGAUGUUGGGUUAAGUCCCGCAACGAGCGCAACCCUCGUUCUAUGUUGCCAGCACGUGAUGGUGGGGACUCAUAGGAGACUGCCGGGGUCAACUCGGAGGAAGGUGGGGACGACGUCAAAUCAUCAUGCCCCUUAUGUCUUGGGCUUCACGCAUGCUACAAUGGCCGGUACAAAGGGUUGCGAUACUGUGAGGUGGAGCUAAUCCCAAAAAGCCGGUCUCAGUUCGGAUUGGGGUCUGCAACUCGACCCCAUGAAGUCGGAGUCGCUAGUAAUCGCAGAUCAGCAACGCUGCGGUGAAUACGUUCCCGGGCCUUGUACACACCGCCCGUCAAGUCACGAAAGUUGGUAACACCCGAAGCCGGUGGCCUAACCCCUUGUGGGAGGGAGCUGUCGAAGGUGGU
RNAcentral lists this ribosomal RNA (1082 nucleotides) under Rhodococcus sp. AB75. Its description in RNAcentral is "bacterial SSU rRNA". It matches the Rfam family "Bacterial small subunit ribosomal RNA", at positions 376 to 1466 of the family's 1533-position model. The record is from RNAcentral. Lineage: Bacteria; Bacillati; Actinomycetota; Actinomycetes; Mycobacteriales; Nocardiaceae.